RNAcentral lists this ribosomal RNA (2921 nucleotides) under Staphylococcus aureus. RNAcentral's name for it is "bacterial LSU rRNA". It matches the Rfam family "Bacterial large subunit ribosomal RNA". Lineage: Bacteria; Bacillati; Bacillota; Bacilli; Caryophanales; Staphylococcaceae. The record is from RNAcentral.
UUAAGUUAUUAAGGGCGCACGGUGGAUGCCUUGGCACUAGAAGCCGAUGAAGGACGUUACUAACGACGAUAUGCUUUGGGGAGCUGUAAGUAAGCUUUGAUCCAGAGAUUUCCGAAUGGGGAAACCCAGCAUGAGUUAUGUCAUGUUAUCGAUAUGUGAAUACAUAGCAUAUCAGAAGGCACACCCGGAGAACUGAACCAUCUUAGUACCCGGCGGAAGAGAAAGAAAAUUCGAUUCCCUUAGUAGCGGCGAGCGAAACGGGAAGAGCCCAAACCAACAAGCUUGCUUGUUGGGGUUGUAGGACACUCUAUACGGAGUUACAAAGGACGACAUUAGACGAAUCAUCUGGAAAGAUGAAUCAAAGAAGGUAAUAAUCCUGUAGUCGAAAAUGUUGUCUCUCUUGAGUGGAUCCUGAGUACGACGGAGCACGUGAAAUUCCGUCGGAAUCUGGGAGGACCAUCUCCUAAGGCUAAAUACUCUCUAGUGACCGAUAGUGAACCAGUACCGUGAGGGAAAGGUGAAAAGCACCCCGGAAGGGGAGUGAAAUAGAACCUGAAACCGUGUGCUUACAAGUAGUCAGAGCCCGUUAAUGGGUGAUGGCGUGCCUUUUGUAGAAUGAACCGGCGAGUUACGAUUUGAUGCAAGGUUAAGCAGUAAAUGUGGAGCCGUAGCGAAAGCGAGUCUGAAUAGGGCGUUUAGUAUUUGGUCGUAGACCCGAAACCAGGUGAUCUACCCUUGGUCAGGUUGAAGUUCAGGUAACACUGAAUGGAGGACCGAACCGACUUACGUUGAAAAGUGAGCGGAUGAACUGAGGGUAGCGGAGAAAUUCCAAUCGAACCUGGAGAUAGCUGGUUCUCUCCGAAAUAGCUUUAGGGCUAGCCUCAAGUGAUGAUUAUUGGAGGUAGAGCACUGUUUGGACGAGGGGCCCCUCUCGGGUUACCGAAUUCAGACAAACUCCGAAUGCCAAUUAAUUUAACUUGGGAGUCAGAACAUGGGUGAUAAGGUCCGUGUUCGAAAGGGAAACAGCCCAGACCACCAGCUAAGGUCCCAAAAUAUAUGUUAAGUGGAAAAGGAUGUGGCGUUGCCCAGACAACUAGGAUGUUGGCUUAGAAGCAGCCAUCAUUUAAAGAGUGCGUAAUAGCUCACUAGUCGAGUGACACUGCGCCGAAAAUGUACCGGGGCUAAACAUAUUACCGAAGCUGUGGAUUGUCCUUUGGACAAUGGUAGGAGAGCGUUCUAAGGGCGUUGAAGCAUGAUCGUAAGGACAUGUGGAGCGCUUAGAAGUGAGAAUGCCGGUGUGAGUAGCGAAAGACGGGUGAGAAUCCCGUCCACCGAUUGACUAAGGUUUCCAGAGGAAGGCUCGUCCGCUCUGGGUUAGUCGGGUCCUAAGCUGAGGCCGACAGGCGUAGGCGAUGGAUAACAGGUUGAUAUUCCUGUACCACCUAUAAUCGUUUUAAUCGAUGGGGGGACGCAGUAGGAUAGGCGAAGCGUGCGAUUGGAUUGCACGUCUAAGCAGUAAGGCUGAGUAUUAGGCAAAUCCGGUACUCGUUAAGGCUGAGCUGUGAUGGGGAGAAGACAUUGAGUCUUCGAGUCGUUGAUUUCACACUGCCGAGAAAAGCCUCUAGAUAGAAAAUAGGUGCCCGUACCGCAAACCGACACAGGUAGUCAAGAUGAGAAUUCUAAGGUGAGCGAGCGAACUCUCGUUAAGGAACUCGGCAAAAUGACCCCGUAACUUCGGGAGAAGGGGUGCUCUUUAGGGUUAACGCCCAGAAGAGCCGCAGUGAAUAGGCCCAAGCGACUGUUUAUCAAAAACACAGGUCUCUGCUAAACCGUAAGGUGAUGUAUAGGGGCUGACGCCUGCCCGGUGCUGGAAGGUUAAGAGGAGUGGUUAGCUUCUGCGAAGCUACGAAUCGAAGCCCCAGUAAACGGCGGCCGUAACUAUAACGGUCCUAAGGUAGCGAAAUUCCUUGUCGGGUAAGUUCCGACCCGCACGAAAGGCGUAACGAUUUGGGCACUGUCUCAACGAGAGACUCGGUGAAAUCAUAGUACCUGUGAAGAUGCAGGUUACCCGCGACAGGACGGAAAGACCCCGUGGAGCUUUACUGUAGCCUGAUAUUGAAAUUCGGCACAGCUUGUACAGGAUAGGUAGGAGCCUUUGAAACGUGAGCGCUAGCUUACGUGGAGGCGCUGGUGGGAUACUACCCUAGCUGUGUUGGCUUUCUAACCCGCACCACUUAUCGUGGUGGGAGACAGUGUCAGGCGGGCAGUUUGACUGGGGCGGUCGCCUCCUAAAAGGUAACGGAGGCGCUCAAAGGUUCCCUCAGAAUGGUUGGAAAUCAUUCAUAGAGUGUAAAGGCAUAAGGGAGCUUGACUGCGAGACCUACAAGUCGAGCAGGGUCGAAAGACGGACUUAGUGAUCCGGUGGUUCCGCAUGGAAGGGCCAUCGCUCAACGGAUAAAAGCUACCCCGGGGAUAACAGGCUUAUCUCCCCCAAGAGUUCACAUCGACGGGGAGGUUUGGCACCUCGAUGUCGGCUCAUCGCAUCCUGGGGCUGUAGUCGGUCCCAAGGGUUGGGCUGUUCGCCCAUUAAAGCGGUACGCGAGCUGGGUUCAGAACGUCGUGAGACAGUUCGGUCCCUAUCCGUCGUGGGCGUAGGAAAUUUGAGAGGAGCUGUCCUUAGUACGAGAGGACCGGGAUGGACAUACCUCUGGUGUACCAGUUGUCGUGCCAACGGCAUAGCUGGGUAGCUAUGUGUGGACGGGAUAAGUGCUGAAAGCAUCUAAGCAUGAAGCCCCCCUCAAGAUGAGAUUUCCCAACUUCGGUUAUAAGAUCCCUCAAAGAUGAUGAGGUUAAUAGGUUCGAGGUGGAAGCAUGGUGACAUGUGGAGCUGACGAAUACUAAUCGAUCGAAGACUUAAUCAA